RNAcentral lists this ribosomal RNA (497 nucleotides) under uncultured bacterium. Its description in RNAcentral is "partial 16S ribosomal RNA". It matches the Rfam family "Bacterial small subunit ribosomal RNA", at positions 28 to 507 of the family's 1533-position model. The record is from RNAcentral.
GAUGAACGCUGGCGGCGUGCCUAAUACAUGCAAGUCGAGCGAACAGAUGAGGAGCUUGCUCCUCUGACGUUAGCGGCGGACGGGUGAGUAACACGUGGAUAACCUACCUAUAAGACUGGGAUAACUUCGGGAAACCGGAGCUAAUACCGGAUAAUAUAUUGAACCGCAUGGUUCAAUAGUGAAAGACGGUUUUGCUGUCACUUAUAGAUGGAUCCGCGCCGCAUUAGCUAGUUGGUAAGGUAACGGCUUACCAAGGCAACGAUGCGUAGCCGACCUGAGAGGGUGAUCGGCCACACUGGAACUGAGACACGGUCCAGACUCCUACGGGAGGCAGCAGUAGGGAAUCUUCCGCAAUGGGCGAAACCCUGACGGAGCAACGCCGCGUGAGUGAUGAAGGUCUUCGGAUCGUAAAACUCUGUUAUUAGGGAAGAACAAAUGUGUAAGUAACUAUGCACGUCUUGACGGUACCUAAUCAGAAAGCCGCGGCUAACUACGUG